Molecule: long non-coding RNA, 486 nt
Filed under: Homo sapiens (human)
Lineage: Eukaryota; Metazoa; Chordata; Mammalia; Primates; Hominidae
Description: HSALNT0136871
Source: RNAcentral
ACGGAUCACAGGAGGAGCCUGCAGCGGAGGAGCCUCCUCCUCCUCAGCAUCAGACCUAAAGGGAGUGUCCUGCCUGAAGGACCGGCUCAAGGUCGCACUAACAGCUCUUGCUAACUCCUGUUCCAGGCUGUUUAUCUGGGCCUCCAAGUACCCUGCUUGCGCCUGGAGGUCUCUCACCCCCAGGUCCUGCUCAAAGCUGUGCACUUGGGCCCCCAGGCAUGCGGCUUGCUCCGGAAGGUCCCUUACCUGUGGCACUGAGCAUGUACUUCCUGCAGUGCAGUUAGAAAUGCCCAUCCGACUCUGCUUGCAAAGUGCAGAGAGGGAGACACCCUUACAAAUGGAGAUUUGCUGGAUAGAAAUGUGGCCAAAGAGUUCAAUAAAAGGUUCCUUUAUUUAUAGGCACAGCUGCUUAAAGACUGUUACCGGAAAGGAAUCCUGAUCCAGACGCCAAGAGAGGGUUCUUGGACUCAUGCAAGAAAGACUUCA